CUGUGGCCCUGGGGUGUUCUGGGUCCUCGGCGUGUCACCGCGUGUGCUUGGCGUGUUCUGAGUCCUUGGUGUGUCACCACAUGUUCUUAGUGUGUGUUUGAGUCCUUGGUGUGUCACCGCGUGUGCUUGGUGUGUGUUUGAGUCCUUGGAGUGUCACUGUGUGUUCUUAGUGUGUUCUGAGUCCUUGGUGUGUCACCGCGUGUGCUUGGUGUGUUUUUGGGUCCUUGGUGUGUCACCACGUGUGCUUGGCGUGUGUUUGAGUCCUUGGUGUGUCAGCACAUGUCCUUGGUGUGUCAGCACAUGUGAUUGAUGUGUUCUGGGUCCUUGGUGUGUCACCGCGUGUGCUUGCUGUGUGUUUGAGUCCUCAGUGUGUCACCGCGUGUUCUUAGUGUGUGUUUGAGUCCUUGCUGUGUCACCACAUGUCUUUGGUGUGUCCCUGUGGCCCUGGCGUGUUCUGAGCCCUUGGUGUGUCACUCUGUGUGCUUGGCAUGUUAUCACCUGUGCUUGGUGUGUUCUGGGUCCUUGGUGUGUCACCACAUGUCCUUGGGGUGUCAGCACGUGUUCUUAGUGUGUGUUUGAGUCCUUGGUGUGUCAGCACGUGUGUUUGGUGUGUUCUGAAUCCCGGGUGUGUCAGCACAUGUGCCAGAUGUGUUCUGAGUCCUUGGUGUGUCAGCACGUGUGCUUGCUGUGUUCUGGGUCCUUGGUGUGUCAGCACGUGUGCUUGCUGUGUUCUGGGUCCUUGGUGUGUCAGCACGUGUGCUUGCUGUGUUCUGGGUCCUUGGUGUGUCAGCACGUGUGCUUGCUGUGUUCUGGGUCCUUGGUGUGUCAGCACGUGUGCUUGCUGUGUUCUG
Molecule: long non-coding RNA, 851 nt
Filed under: Manacus vitellinus (golden-collared manakin)
Lineage: Eukaryota; Metazoa; Chordata; Aves; Passeriformes; Pipridae
Description: lncRNA (ENSMVIG00005016226.1)
Source: RNAcentral